This 503-nucleotide ribosomal RNA is filed under the name uncultured bacterium. RNAcentral describes it as "partial 16S ribosomal RNA". It matches the Rfam family "Bacterial small subunit ribosomal RNA", at positions 28 to 507 of the family's 1533-position model. The record is from RNAcentral.
GACGAACGCUGGCGGCGUGCUUAACACAUGCAAGUCGAACGGUGAAGCGCUUUCCUUUUUGGUUGGUGUGGAUGAGUGGCGAGCGGGUGAGUAACACGUGAGUAACCUGCCCCCUUCUUCUGGAUAACCGCAUGAAGGUGUGGCUAAUACGGGAUAUUCUGCGCCUGCUGCAUGGUGGGUGUGGGAAAGAUUGUGCCUUUGGGUGUUUUCGGUGGGGGAUGGGCUCGCGGCCUAUCAGCUUGUUGGUGGGGUGAUGGCCUACCAAGGCGGUGACGGGUAGGCGUGCUGAGAGGGUGGACGGUCACACUGGGACUGGGCCACGGCCCAGACUCCUACGGGAGGCAGCAGUGGGGAAUAUUGCACAAUGGGAGCAAGCCUGAUGCAGCGACGCCGCGUGAGGGAGGGAGGCCUUCGGGUUGUGAACCUCUUUCGCCAGUGAAGCAGGCCUGCUCCUUGUGGGUGGGUUGACGGUAGCUGGAUAAGAAGCGCCGGCUAACUACGUG